RNAcentral lists this long non-coding RNA (513 nucleotides) under Homo sapiens (human). Its description in RNAcentral is "small nucleolar RNA host gene 14". Lineage: Eukaryota; Metazoa; Chordata; Mammalia; Primates; Hominidae. The record is from RNAcentral.
GUGGCUCUCCAUGCCUACCUGUGGUCUCUUGGACACCCUUGCAGAAGAUGACUUCCUGGGAACUCUUCUGGGAGUGAAUGUUAUCAGCAAAUUCCCAAAACAACACCCCUUAGACAAAAAGCCUCCUCACCUAUGCAUUGCCUAGACCACCCACUAAAGAUGGUGACCAUGGAGGAAGACUUGUGUUGGGCCCAAUGGCCCUCGGCCAGUGUCCGUCUGCCAGGUGCCAGCCCCCGGUGCGCUGAAGCUCAGGCCAUUCCUGAUGCCCUGGCCUCCUGCACUGAGCUGUGUGAGCUCUUCUGCCCAGGCAGGCCCCCUGGCAUUGACCGGCAUAGACAGUGAGCCUGGAGGAAGACUUGCCCUGGUCCCACUGUCCCUGGGCCAGUGUCCAUCAGCCAGGUGCCCAGACCCCAGUGCGCUGAAGCUCAGCCCUCCCUGGCACUCUGGUCUCCUGCACUGAGCUGUGUGAGCUCUUCCGCCCAUGAGGGCCCCCUGGCCUUGAGCAGCAUAGGU